RNAcentral lists this non-coding RNA (28 nucleotides) under Mus musculus (house mouse). The record is from RNAcentral. Lineage: Eukaryota; Metazoa; Chordata; Mammalia; Rodentia; Muridae.
UGGAUCUAACUAAGACAGGGCCCAGAUG